This is a long non-coding RNA of Manduca sexta (tobacco hornworm), 230 nucleotides long. RefSeq lists it as uncharacterized. NCBI's taxonomy places the organism in Eukaryota, Metazoa, Arthropoda, Insecta, Lepidoptera, Sphingidae. The record is from RefSeq and is a predicted model, not a curated record. The transcript is spliced from 3 exons.
GCACACGCUCGCCGACCUGCACCACACGGACCCAAUAGAGCCGUGGGCAGUAACUGCGCUGAACGUAGGUGUGUGGCGUCCCACGAGCGGUGAGCUGCGAGCGUUGCUCGACGACUGGCUCCUGCGCUGCGAACAUCUCAUACAGCACCUGCUACUCAACCUGGACUACACGCCGCAUACGGGCGUGUCGCUAGAGUCCCAGCUGACAGUAGGUCGUUGGCUAUGCGGUU